RNAcentral lists this unclassified non-coding RNA (363 nucleotides) under Hevea brasiliensis (rubber tree). Lineage: Eukaryota; Viridiplantae; Streptophyta; Magnoliopsida; Malpighiales; Euphorbiaceae. The record is from RNAcentral.
CGCCGCUCCCGCUUCGUCGUCCGAGCAAAAGCGGAACCUUCAGAGAAGUCUGUUGAGAUUAUGAGGAAGUUCUCAGAGCAGUAUGCCCGUCGCUCAGGAACAUACUUUUGUGUUGAUAAAGGUGUCACAUCUGUAGUUAUCAAGGGACUUGCUGAUCACAAGGACUCUCUGGGAGCACCGUUAUGUCCUUGUAGGCAUUACGACGACAAAGCUGCUGAAGCAGGGCAAGGUUUCUGGAACUGUCCCUGUGUACCUAUGCGAGAAAGGAAGGAGUGCCACUGUAUGCUUUUUCUCACCCCAGAUAAUGAUUUUGCGGGGAGCGAGCAGACCAUUACCUUGGAUGAGAUAAAGGAAACAACCAAG